Artibeus jamaicensis (Jamaican fruit-eating bat) is the source of this 1232-nucleotide long non-coding RNA. RefSeq lists it as uncharacterized. The record is from RefSeq and is a predicted model, not a curated record. Lineage: Eukaryota; Metazoa; Chordata; Mammalia; Chiroptera; Phyllostomidae. The transcript is spliced from 4 exons.
UGUACUCGUUGUAAAAAAAAAUUCAAAUCUGAAUAAUCCAGAUGAGAAAUGAAAUGGAAGUGAAAACUCCCCCCUCACUGCGCCGAGAAGCCCCGACUCCUGUAUCUGCACAUAACAACUGCCACUCCUCAAGUUCUUGCAGCUUCCAGCGUCCCCACAAACUGAGCACCUAUUAUGCGCCAGCCACGUUAUGCUCACGAUGGCCCUCGAUGUUGCAACUUCAGGCCACCCCCGAUGUUACAGAUGAGAAAAGGGAGGCUUGGAAAUUAAGUCAUUUGAAUCUUUCACUGAAGAGACCUCACGUCCAAGUUAACUUCUGCAGAGAACGCCGGUUUCCUAAAACCCUACCUGAGUUCACGAAGAGCUGAAAGCAUGUUUUACAUCCAGAAGGAAAGACCAACAGCCCUUCUUCUUUGGUGGCGCAUUCAUAAACAGAUGUAAGACAGGAAAUCGGUCCCCUCCGCCCCUGCCCCGGGGUGUCUGCGGACAGAACAAAGAGCGCGCUUCGGUGCCCGGCCAGCAAGCAGAGCCUGCGCCGUGAUUGCUGCCCGAUGCUGCGGAUGGAUUCAAGGCCCGGGUCCAUCUGGUUUGUGUAUCGUGAACGAGCUGUUAAAGUGUCAGGACUUAACUUCUCUGGAUUCGAGGAAGUCUCGUGAGGGUUUAUUGAGCAGUUAAGAUGGGUGUAAACGUCACUGGGGGGACCUGCUCCCCUGCUAUGAUCUAAGAGAUACGCAGGUUCGCAGGAUGGAGAAACUCACCGUUAGAAAUAGGGAGAUGGACAACCCCCUGCCCCCGCUCCAAUGAAAACGCCGGGGACUUGGAAUGCAGGCUCCAUCCACUACGCCCCAUCACAGCCUCCGUUCUGUGUCCAGGCUUCUGUGUCUCCUCUGGGACGCGGAGACCCUAACCUUGAUCACCUCACAGAGCUGCUGGAUGUGACAGGACCCAUACAGAGAGCUAUGAGUGGGACUAAGAGGAGGAACUGACAACAUCCACAGGGUCCAGAAGGCUCCCCUGAGAAGUGAAGCCUGGCCGAAAUGAGAAAGAUGGCUCACGUAUGGAGCUCAGCCGCCACAUUGUGAGGGAGCCCAGACUAGCCCAUAUGGAGAUGCCCCAUGUCAACUGUCUGGCCAGUAACCCAGCUGUGGUCCCAGCCAACAGCCAGCAUCAACUUCCAAGCAUGAGAGUGACACGUCUCCAGAUGUUCCCAGCCCCUGGAUCGGCCCCAGCUG